CAGCCCCACGGGAAUACAGAGGGUGCGAGCGUUAAUCGGAUUUACUGGGCGUAAAGCGUGCGUAGGCGGCUUCUUAAGUCGGAUGUGGAAUCCCUGAGCUUAACUUAGGAAUUGCAUUCGAUACUGGGAAGCUAGAGUAUGGGAGAGGAUGGUAGAAUUCCAGGUGUAGCGGUGAAAUGCGUAGAGAUCUGGAGGAAUACCGAUGGCGAAGGCAGCCAUCUGGCCUAAUACUGACGCUGAGGUACGAAAGCAUGGGGAGCAAACAGGAUUAGAUACCCCAGUAGUCCCUGUCUCUUAUACA
This 301-nucleotide ribosomal RNA is filed under the name uncultured bacterium. RNAcentral describes it as "partial 16S ribosomal RNA". It matches the Rfam family "Bacterial small subunit ribosomal RNA", at positions 509 to 808 of the family's 1533-position model. The record is from RNAcentral.